GUGCCAGCAGCCGCGGUAAUACAGAGGGUGCAAGCGUUGUUCGGAAUUACUGGGCGUAAAGCGCGCGUAGGCGGGAUGGCAAGUCGGGUGUGAAAGCCCUCGGCUCAACCGAGGAAGUGCACUCGAAACUGCCAUUCUUGAGUGUCGGAGAGGGUGGCGGAAUUCCCGGUGUAGAGGUGAAAUUCGUAGAUAUCGGGAGGAACACCAGUGGCGAAGGCGGCCACCUGGCCGAGCACUGACGCUCAGGCGCGAAAGCGUGGGGAGCAAACAGGAUUAGAAACCCUUGUAGUCC
Molecule: ribosomal RNA, 292 nt
Filed under: uncultured Vulgatibacter sp.
Lineage: Bacteria; Pseudomonadati; Myxococcota; Myxococcia; Myxococcales; Vulgatibacteraceae
Description: partial 16S ribosomal RNA
Rfam family: Bacterial small subunit ribosomal RNA
Source: RNAcentral